Molecule: long non-coding RNA, 396 nt
Organism: Peromyscus eremicus (cactus mouse)
Lineage: Eukaryota; Metazoa; Chordata; Mammalia; Rodentia; Cricetidae
Exons: 2
Source: RefSeq, a predicted model, not a curated record
GGCUCCUAACUUACAAUGAUGAUGAUCUAAUUUCACAAUGAUACAGAAGCAGGGGCUCUCAACAGACACCAUGCUCAACUUCCAAUUUUGAUCUUAGCUACACUGGUGAUAUACAGAAAGCUUUUCACAGUGCUGGAGAGGGCAGCAAAAGACCACCAUGUUUGGCUGAAAUCCCCUGGAAUUUUCCUAGGAUCCAUGAGGUGACAAUGUUUUCAACAGCAGAAGCACAUGCUGUCAUAGAAGGGACAACUGUCACCAUUAGAAGCAUCUGGCUCAGCCUCACUCAACUCAUCACAUGCUCAACUAUGCUGAUUGAGUCACUGACCCUCUCUGAGUUUCUGUUUCCACAUCUGUAAAUAUUAUUGGAUACUAAAAUUAAAACACCCAUCAAAGUAA